CUUGUUACAACGCUAUUGUUGUUAGAAUGUCAGUGUAGUAAAGUUUGGUACAAAAGUAACUCACAAGAUAUGGGAUCUAAAUAGGUGAAAUAUCCUUGUCGACACUACCUAUGGAACCGAACAACGAUUGUUCGACGACUGCCGCCUUGUCUUUUCUCUUACAUACAGAGCUUGGUGGUUGGGAGCAUGGUGAUCAUGAUGUUGAUGAAAGUAUAACCAAAGAGAAUAGGGUGUUAAUUGCAUCUGUUGAUGUAUGAGUGCAGUGAAAGCCAGCAAGAUUCGGAAAAGUUUAUUUUCAUCGUUGCUGUCUGGUGCCUCAGCCAUAGCUGAGACCCAAUUUCCUGAUGGCCUUGUAUCAUGUCCAAGCUGCCAUUCUGCUUCUGUUCAGUGGAGUUAUCUUAAAACAGGGUCAUUUGAGUUCUUGUGAAGCCCUCUGAUGCUAUUUGGAGGAGUCGAGGUGGGAACGGUGACCGGAGUACACGCCGACGUCUCCAUCAAGAUUCCAGCAAAGGCUUAAAUCUUUUUCGUGGCGUCCAAUAACUUGCUGAAGAUGCUGUAUGCUGUACGAGUUCGACAACUGAUCCCAGCCUCAGGUGACGACUGGUGUCUUUGUCGCCUGAUGAAGAGAAGGCUACUAUAAACGAAAGCGCCGCUUCCCUUCGUUGCGGGUUCAUGUCUUCUUCGUCGACGGCGCAGAGAAUGAAGAGCUCAAGCUUCCCAUCGAUGUCCAGCCACAAAAGAGUGAAGCAGAGGACCAAGCGUUUAAUUCCUUUGAGAGGCCGCAUCAAAAGGCAAAUUUUGACAUCAUUUCUUCAGAAGAUCGCUUGCGUGGCAGGGUCCGUGUCAUCCAUUGUAACUUGCAAGCAAGUGAAGGAUGGAUACUAGAGCUUGUGUUUAGGUUUAAUACAUCAACUUGAUGCAUGGAUGCACCUACUUGUAAGUGGGUUUUCUUCUUCUUCUUCUUCUUCUUUUUCUUUUUUUUGGAGAAAAAAAGAAAUCGGUGUGGAAAUUCUGAUGAUUUAAUUUGAUCAUUUAUUGAAGCAC
Molecule: non-coding RNA, 1044 nt
Organism: Elaeis guineensis (African oil palm)
Lineage: Eukaryota; Viridiplantae; Streptophyta; Magnoliopsida; Arecales; Arecaceae
Source: RefSeq, a predicted model, not a curated record